RNAcentral lists this ribosomal RNA (59 nucleotides) under Sutcliffiella horikoshii. RNAcentral describes it as "Bacillus horikoshii partial 23S ribosomal RNA". Lineage: Bacteria; Bacillati; Bacillota; Bacilli; Caryophanales; Bacillaceae. The record is from RNAcentral.
GUGGAAGCGUGGCGACACGUGCAGCUGACGAAUACUAAUCGAUCGAGGACUUAACCCAA